This 427-nucleotide ribosomal RNA is filed under the name uncultured bacterium. RNAcentral describes it as "bacterial SSU rRNA". It matches the Rfam family "Bacterial small subunit ribosomal RNA", at positions 355 to 774 of the family's 1533-position model. The record is from RNAcentral.
UGGGGAAUUUUGGACAAUGGACGCAAGUCUGAUCCAGCCGUGCCGCGUGCGGGAAGAAGGCCUUCGGGUUGUAAACCGCUUUUGUCAGGGAAGAAACGAGUUUCUCUAAUACAGAGACUUAAUGACGGUACCUGAAGAAUAAGCACCGGCUAACUACGUGCCAGCAGCCGCGGUAAUACGUAGGGUGCGAGCGUUAAUCGGAAUUACUGGGCGUAAAGCGUGCGCAGGCGGUUUUAUAAGACAGAUGUGAAAUCCCCGGGCUCAACCUGGGACCUGCAUUUGUGACUGUAUAGCUAGAGUACGGUAGAGGGGGAUGGAAUUCCGCGUGUAGCAGUGAAAUGCGUAGAUAUGCGGAGGAACACCGAUGGCGAAGGCAAUCCCCUGGGCCUGUACUGACGCUCAUGCACGAAAGCGUGGGGAGCAAACA